This 465-nucleotide ribosomal RNA is filed under the name uncultured bacterium. RNAcentral describes it as "partial 16S ribosomal RNA". It matches the Rfam family "Bacterial small subunit ribosomal RNA", at positions 338 to 795 of the family's 1533-position model. The record is from RNAcentral.
CCUACGGGAGACUGCAGUAGGGAAUCUUCCACAAUGGACGAAAGUCUGAUGGAGCAACGCCGCGUGAGUGAAGAAGGGUUUCGGCUUGUAAAGCUCUGUUGUUAGUGAAGAAAGAUAGAGGUAGUAACUGGCCUUUAUUUGACGGUAAUUACUUAGAAAGUCACGGCUAACUCCGUGCCAGCAGCCGCGGUAAUACGUAGGUGGCAAGCGUUGUCCGGAUUUAUUGGGCGUAAAGCGAGUGCAGGCGGUUCCAUAAGUCUGAUGUGAAAGCCUUCGGCUCAACCGGAGAAUUGCAUCUGAAACUGUUUGACUUGAGUGCAGCAGAGGAAGGUGGAACUCCAUGUGUAGCGGUGGAAUGCGUAGAUAUAUGGAAGAACACCAGUGGCGAAGGCAGCUCUCUGGACUGCAACUGACGCUGAUGCUCGAAAGCGUGGGUAGCGAACAGGAUUAGAUACCCCAGUAGUC